RNAcentral lists this ribosomal RNA (396 nucleotides) under Paenibacillus amylolyticus. Its description in RNAcentral is "bacterial SSU rRNA". It matches the Rfam family "Bacterial small subunit ribosomal RNA", at positions 86 to 468 of the family's 1533-position model. Lineage: Bacteria; Bacillati; Bacillota; Bacilli; Caryophanales; Paenibacillaceae. The record is from RNAcentral.
UGAUGGUUAGCGGCGGACGGGUGAGUAACACGUAGGCAACCUGCCCUCAAGUUUGGGACAACUACCGGAAACGGUAGCUAAUACCGAAUAAUUGUUUUCUUCGCCUGAAGGAAACUGGAAAGACGGAGCAAUCUGUCACUUGGGGAUGGGCCUGCGGCGCAUUAGCUAGUUGGUGAGGUAACGGCUCACCAAGGCGACGAUGCGUAGCCGACCUGAGAGGGUGAUCGGCCACACUGGGACUGAGACACGGCCCAGACUCCUACGGGAGGCAGCAGUAGGGAAUCUUCCGCAAUGGGCGAAAGCCUGACGGAGCAAUGCCGCGUGAGUGAUGAAGGUUUUCGGAUCGUAAAGCUCUGUUGCCAGGGAAGAACGCUUGGGAGAGUAACUGCUCUCAAG